AUUCGCGGCCUAUCAGCUUGUUGGUGGGGUCACGGCCUACCAAGGCGACGACGGGUAGCUGGUCUGAGAGGAUGGCCAGCCACAUUGGGACUGAGAGACGGCCCAGACUCCUACGGGAGGCAGCAGUGGGGAAUCUUGCGCAAUGGCCGAAAGGCUGACGCAGCGACGCCGCGUGUGGGAGGACGCCCUUCGGGGUGUAAACCACUGUUGCCCGGGACGAAUCCCUGGUUUCGACCAGGUUGACGGUACCGGGUGAGGAAGCACCGGCUAACUCCGUGCCAGCAGCCGCGGUAAUACGGAGGGUGCGAGCGUUGUCCGGAAUCACUGGGCGUAAAGGGCGCGUAGGUGGCGGCAUAAGCGUGCGGUGAAAGCCCGGGGCUCAACUCCGGGUCGGCCGUGCGGACUGUGUCGCUCGAGCAUGGUAGAGGCAGGUGGAAUUCCGGGUGUAGCGGUGGAAUGCGUAGAGAUCCGGAAGAACACCGGUGGCGAAGGCGGCCUGCUGGGCCAUGGCUGACACUGAGGCGCGACAGCGUGGGGAGCAAACAGGAUUAGAUACCCUGGUAGUCCACGCCGUAAACGAUGGGCACUAGGUGCUUGGGGGAGCGACCCCCUGGGUGCCGGCGCUAACGCAUGAAGUGCCCCGCCUGGGGAGUACGGAAUCGUCGACCGCAGCCCCCCCCGG
This 682-nucleotide ribosomal RNA is filed under the name uncultured actinomycete. RNAcentral describes it as "bacterial SSU rRNA". It matches the Rfam family "Bacterial small subunit ribosomal RNA", at positions 229 to 873 of the family's 1533-position model. Lineage: Bacteria; Bacillati; Actinomycetota; Actinomycetes; Actinomycetales. The record is from RNAcentral.